This 482-nucleotide long non-coding RNA is filed under the name Sorghum bicolor (sorghum). RNAcentral's name for it is "long non-coding RNA (SBIC_LNC004231)". The record is from RNAcentral. Lineage: Eukaryota; Viridiplantae; Streptophyta; Magnoliopsida; Poales; Poaceae.
GUGGAGGGAUUUUCUAGUAUGUGACUAUUUGUAUUUUUAAUGUCAAAAGGUUUUCAAAAUGAGUGGCUCAAUUGAACAUUUGAUUUUUAUUUUUUAGAACUUCCAAAAUGGGACUGAGAGAGGGGGUGCAGAUAGUAAGGAACAAAAUGUUCAACCUUUAGAUAGAGCUAGUAGCUUCCAUAAAAAACCCCGAUUUUGAAUUUUUCAUGGACUGCAUUUGAAGAAUUUGAAGUCAUUCAUUCAUGUUUUUUUUUUAAUUCUGAAAACUGUUUGGAUCCUUCCACUUUAGAGGAAUUGGAAUAAUAGACUAUUUGUCUUGGAAUUUGACGUUCAACAACUUUCCACACUUUAGAUAUAAGCUUGUCUUAAAUUCAUGGGAUGAGAAAUAUAAAUUCAUUCCAUAGAUCCUCGUGCUCUGUCUCUGCUCUAUAACUCAUAGCAUGCUCUUCGGCUUGCUCUUGUACAAGAAAACUGCAGCAAAU